GACGUGGGGGGCCAGCGUUGUCCGGAUUUACUGGGUGUAAAGGGUUCGUAGGCGGUGUAGCAAGUCGGGAGUGAAAUCUCUGGGCUCAACCCAGAGGCUGCUUCCGAAACUGCUGUGCUUGAGUGUGAGAGAGGCGCGUGGAAUUGCAGGUGUAGCGGUGAAAUGCGUAGAUAUCUGCAGGAGCACCCGUGGCGAAAGCGGCGCGCUGGAUCACUACUGACGCUGAGGAACGAAAGCUAGGGGAGCAAACAGG
RNAcentral lists this ribosomal RNA (253 nucleotides) under uncultured bacterium. RNAcentral describes it as "partial 16S ribosomal RNA". It matches the Rfam family "Bacterial small subunit ribosomal RNA", at positions 524 to 776 of the family's 1533-position model. The record is from RNAcentral.